Long non-coding RNA from Nematostella vectensis (starlet sea anemone), 1019 nucleotides. RefSeq lists it as uncharacterized. The transcript has 2 exons. The record is from RefSeq and is a predicted model, not a curated record. NCBI's taxonomy places the organism in Eukaryota, Metazoa, Cnidaria, Anthozoa, Actiniaria, Edwardsiidae.
GGGGGUGGGGGGAAAGGAAUACAAUGUCUAGACUUAAAAGAGAAAAUCUAAAACCUGGCCUGGUGAUCUUAUUAUUAAACACAGCCAAAUCAAACCUGUAGCAAACACAUCUUUUUGUGUUUGACCCGUUACUAAUCUCGUUACUUGUUACUGAUUUAAACUCUGUGUUACUGUUUUAAAGUGAUUUAAAAUCUGAAUGGAGUUAGCGAGAGCUCGAUGUAACUUAGUCGAUUGAAUAAGACAUAAAUUAGUUGCUUUACAUCUCAUGGAAAUCAGAAACAAUGCUUCGUUAUCCACGAUGGAUCUCUCUACAAAACGUGAGACUAUAAAGGGUGAGACUUUUCCAUUGAAUGAAAUGUGUCCUGUCGCUGUGAAGAGUUGGUUACGCUGAUGUUUUGAGCACGAGAUGGUAUAUUCUAAAAUUCCUUUUUUUUCUCUUCUAUCUCACCUAGAUGGUCCAUCUGUGAACCGUAGUUACAACCUAGACCACGAACAGUGGUUACAGCCCCUAGUUCCCGACAUACUAGGUUUCUUCUGUUCGAAGAUGAACCGUGACGAAGCAAAGGUCUUGGGCGAAUUCAUGGACAACUCUAACCUGCCACAGGAACCCCAACGGAUUCAAGACGCCGUAUAUAAAAGGAUUGAUAACCGACGAAAGGACUCCGAGAAAGGAAUAGUAGUGAAAUAGUCACUUUUUAAAUAUAAACCCCAAAUUUGGGACUUCUUUGAUAGGAAUCUCCCCUUAAGUAGAGUUCUAGAGGGAAGGAAAGUGUGCCACGCACCAUGUCAAUGAGAUCGACUACCAAUUCAAACGUCCAGCAUAGCAUGAAUCCCACGACAGUCAAGAAGAGAAGUACGCGUGACUUUGAUUACCUGGAUGUUUGGUCCAGACAAGGAAUUAUUGUUUUCUUCCAUGCUAAUGACUUGGAUUUGAUGACUACGGAUUGUCUGGAAAAACUUGUAAUAGCAAACGAUUAUGAUACACACCGGGGCACAAAUAUUAAAAAAAGUGUAGAAAA